Long non-coding RNA from Grus americana (Whooping crane), 9297 nucleotides. RefSeq lists it as uncharacterized. Lineage: Eukaryota; Metazoa; Chordata; Aves; Gruiformes; Gruidae. The transcript is spliced from 2 exons. The record is from RefSeq and is a predicted model, not a curated record.
UGGCCUGAACAGGUCAUUCACUGUACUGACAGCCACGGAAAUGCACUUAGUCUGAUAAGGAUGCUGACGGUGACUGGAGAAAUCUCUUUGGGUUAUCUAUAAUGCGGCACAUACGACACCGCCCGCUGAGAGCCGAGCCGCCGCACUCCCGGUGCCGCCGCCGUGUCGGACGCAGCGCUCACCCAAGCCCCGACGUGCGUGUGCAGCCUCUGCUUCCUAGUGCCGGUAUUCAUGGAAAAGGGUUUUUGCUGAACCUGACGCUCAGAGAUGGGAGACGAGUGACUCUCCUUGGGUCACGCAGCCGCCCGCCGAACGCGACCGAACCCCCCAAAACCCGGACGGGCACCUAGGCUGUCAGGUCCUGGCUUUGUGCAGAUGAUGUGGAGAUCACAGGCAGCUUCACGGGGUCACUGAUGGUAACAGCACUGCCAGCGCGAAAACUCGAUGUCCAGCCCAUCCUAACACCGUGCUGUUAAACGGAGUUUGCUUUGGUUUAACGGGAACUGGACUUUACAGAGCGACUCUUUGCUUUUCACCACGUCACCGAUGAUGGAAGAUCAAGCUAAUUAGGAUACAAAGAUCUAACGGCGUGCUCCACAUGCUCGCUGGCGCUCGGUUAAAAGGUGUGAACGUGCCAAGGCAGUGAUGGCGGGUGCCUCCCCCCGUCCGGAAACACUUGUUUUGGGGAGGGUUGGUCGAGUGCUGCAGCAUUCGGCUACCGCAGCUCCGCGCUGCCUGCACAGCCCCUAUCUCACUGCAGUUUGCUUCCCUUACUCACUGUUAGUCCUAUAAGGAGUAAGUAUUAAUAUGAAAAGUAAUCUUCUUAAGAAAACCAUUACACUUUACUUUUGGAGCUUCCUCUUCAUGGGCAGGACCCCGUGCCCCCCCGCUGAUCCGGCAGCACGGGCUGGCAUCGCCCGGGGUUAAUUCGGACUUGGGGUUGCUGGAACAUGUUUGUGCCGUAUUCUCACCAUUUCAAACACCAGCAAACAGAGGAGGUUGGAAAUGAAGAAACUGCCUGAAGACGGCACCUGGCAAAGAACUUCUAACCCCAAAACCUGCUGUCUGUAACCGAGGGAAGAGAUGAAAAAUGGAAGAUGCCCCGCAUGGCCCACUGAGCCCCUUGGCGUGAAACCUGCCCCUAACCAGGCUCUGAGGCGGACGCAGCCACGGAGGAGCGAAGUCCAUCAGCCGGAGCCUCCCCGGGCGAUGCCCACGCGAGGGGGACACGGUGCCCAUCAGCCCCAGGAGGACGAACGCGGCCAUCGAGACCUUAGCCACAGACUGCGCACACCCAGUGAUGGGCAGAGCCGGUGAGGCUGAAACCUGACCUAGGGCACCUCAUUGGAAAGCAAAAACUGCGGGUUUGGAUCUGGCUCCUAUUACACUCAUUUUCUACUGACAUGAAUUUUAUGACUUUAGCGUAGCUACGCCUGAUUUGCACCGGUGAUUCCAGCGCCAGGUCUGCACCUCCGCAGGAACAGCAGUGCCGUUCGGCGGGACGCUUUGUCCUGUGGGGUGGCUCCGAGCCGUGACUCCAAUACCUGCUGCCCAACAGUGCCUUGGAAAUAACUGCAAAAUUAUUUUUUUAUACAGCGAGCAGCUUGUAUAACCCUACAAAGACCUGCUGGAAGCCCGGUCCAGAUCAAACCCCUGACUCAUCCGCUGCACUCAGUUAAACAGGAGGCUGUUAUGGCUCGCUAACGAUCCAGAACCAUACGGAGAGGCUAUGUCUGUUCAUAUGACUGUUCCUCCCGCCCCGAGGGGUGCAGGCAGCUGCCGGGUGCCCGGGGCUCACACAGGACACCCCAAGCCUCUGCAAAGACCAAGCAGGACGCGAUGCCCGGAGGUGUGCAGCCUCCCGUCGGUUCCCGGAUUUGCUUUAGUGGGUAAAAUCAUGUUUCUAAAAAAGCAAGCCGUUCCUGCCUGACACAUGCUAGCACACCUGCAAAGAGCUUUUCAGUGUUCAGAUAUAAAGAUCAAUGACUGCAGAGACAGUUGCCUUGGGCUAGGAGAAACGGUGGAAGGAAGAGAGCCUACAAUUUAAUACAAGAGAGCAAUCCUUUGGAAAAAGCCAUGCCCUGAUUUAUAGCAAUACAGAAAACAGACCAUGCUGUGCACCCCUCCUCAUCUACAAUAACAUCAAGAAAACUGGAGCCCAGAAAGCUGUAAGCUUUGUGCUGCUUUGUGCUCCAUACUGCACUGCAGAAACAACUAGGAAAAAAGGAACAAACCACGGAGGCCGCCCUGGCCAGCACCUCCUGCCCAUCGCCCGCUGGGCUCCAAGAGCUGGGGCUGGCAGCGAUGUCAUCAGGGCUUCGCUUGCACGCAGGACCAGGGCUUGCUCCCUUCGGAAAUAUCCGUGUUCCCAAAUAGCUGCUUGGUGGAAAAAGAAAAGCCCCGGCUGGGUCGUGAGGAUGUCUGCACACGUACCACCAACUCGCACAAUUUCUGCGGUGAAUUUUGCAUGAUGUGCUAAUAUUAUUCAUGUCCUGGGUUCAGGCAUCAGUGAUCCCAUGGGAACAAAGCCUCCCUUCUUAUUUAUAGUCUUGCUUUCUAGUUUUCCUCUCCUAUUCCAGCCUCAGGAAUGGUGGGAAAGAUGCAGGACUUCCUACCUGCUUCAGGACACCAAGACAUCGCCCGUGGUGCAGGACGUAGGAGAUAAGGGAUGCCCACGGAUUGUCACUGGGGCCGUGCUGGGCAGCAGGUGCCUGGAGGAGUCUGGCAACACACAGGUACAUGCUCAGGGAGAUGGUUUUCUAAAGUCUGGUGAAAAUACCCAUUCCUCACCCUCGGUGAGAGCCAGCGGUGCGGCCGUGCUGUGCCCUGGCAUCUGCUUUGGCUUGGGAGAGCACCCGCACCCCCUACUGCUGAUGGCAUCAACGCGGCCGCCCAGGCGCUCCAUUGAUUUUUCCUUUCUCGGAGAGAAAGCAAGAGUCAAGCUCUUAAUUACCUCAAUUACCAGUUUUCCUGUUUCCCUUUAUCUGUAUCAAAGGGCUUCUGUUGGCUUGUGUAGAAAAUUUUCUCCUUUUUAAGAAAGCGGCAGUCAGGUAAACAGCAAAAGCAGUGCUAGGAAAUUAAUUACUGGGGCAUUUGUGAGGCUGAGAACUCAUCAGCCCAGCUCGUUUGCGCUGACCUGCCGUCUCCAUCAGGGCCAACUCCUAUACGAGCAGAUCUCCACAGCACGGGAGGAAUUUCAUAUGUCUUCAAUGGUUUUUCCCGUUCCCCCAGAGUUUUGAUGCUUUAGUUUUUAAUCCCUAGACUCGGUUCAAAGAGGGUGAGAGAUGCUUAGCCCCAUGCUGUAUCAGCCCUGGCAUGUUCCAAAUAAAUGGUGACGGUGACACAUGAGCAUCCUUGGCAGCUCCCUACAGCAGCCGACCCCAUGCAGGGCAUGUCCCACCAACCCACCCAGAGUGAGUCUGCAUGAAAAGCAAGAACAUGCUCCAAAGAGCCCCAAACCAUCUCUCUCAAACCUAAACUAGAGCAAAAGAGUCUUGGGUAGCAAGCGAUGUGUUAUGGAGCAUGUGGACAAGACAAGAUCCUGAGCUUCCCAGGCUCUGUGAUGUGCACGGCGUGUUGAGAGAAGAGAAAGUCUCGAGCGUGACCCUGGGCUGGGGACGGAAAGCGUCACGAGGCCAGGGUGGCUCAUACCCCAACGGGGAAUGUCUCAAACGCACCAGGAUGGGCAGGUGGCAGAGGAUAAAUAAUGCCAAAGUGGGAAAUGAAAACAUGACAGGAAGUAACGGCAUGGCCUGAAAGUUCAUCAGUACAACUUAGGUGUGUUACAGAGAAUCAGGACCCUACCACAGCAACACAAGGAUCUCCUUCACAAAAAAAUUCAAGCAGAAAUAGCUUCGCUGGACCUUGAAGCUUUACUCAGGUAAAAAGCCCCUUCUACUGAAAGUAAAAAAGAAACAGUGCGUUGCUGAGGAGCACAGCAAGCACCGUGCUCCCCAAAUGAUGCUGUUCUUGGGUCAAAAACGCUGUCCUGAGCAACAUCUUCUCAGGUGUGCUACCAAACAGCUCAGAGAGCCCCGAGGUGCCCUGGCCCUCUGCCCUGUGUGUGCUCUUCAACACCAUCCCCACCCCACCCUGAAGUGACCCCCGAAGCCCUCCUUGCCCCCCCAGCCCCUACGGUGGAGGAGGAUGCAGUGCUGGGAAGGAGCUGCCCGGCUCUGCGGUGGCACAACAGCUUUACCUGCAUCUGAGCACCGUCCUGGAGCACCCAAACACAGCAGACCCACAACCAGGAGAUAAGUCACUUCUCGCCGAUCCAGGGUGAGCAGCUGGUGGGUUUGGUUGCCCUCCUUAGCCAGAGCACUCCAGCAAGGCGGCUUCCCAUCAGCACCUCGCUGCUGCCCCGACGACCCGGGACAGGGCAGUGUGCAGCCUCUCUGUGCAAUGCACUACUGAGGUGAGUUGUGUUCCAAGCAGGGCUUGGUGGGACCACACGCCUUCCCAUCGCAGCUACCAGUACUGGCGUUCACCGGUGAUGUGCCACCACCGAGAUGCUGCGGCUCUCCCCACACCAUCACGGCAAAGCAUCACGGAGGCGAAGCCAAGUGCCAAGUGCCAAGUGCCGAACCAUUUGCAGAAGCUCGAUUACACUGGAGGAGCAUUUACUUCUAUCCAGCCAGCCAAAGACAUGGCAUUUUAAGAAAAAAAAUAUCUGUACCAAUCAAGGGCUUAUUUAAAUGAAGGGCUGAAAAUUGGGAUCAGCCUGAAAAGUACAACAAACCUGAGGCCGUUAGUCUGAAAGUGGGUCUCAAGGGCACUUGAGGAAAAGGAGUAAGUGGACCCAAACACUCUUGAGGAUCACAUCUAUCCCUGGAGAAGAUUACGCAGUAAUAAAAUAUACUCAGCAAAUUCCCAUGGUUAAUCAUCUCUGUAAACUGAAUGCUUCACUUGACUGAAGGGAGAAGGCAUUUUUUUCCAUACGCUCUCUUUUAAUAUACUAGAGAGAAAUAAUUAAUCCUGCGUAGCAUUUCUCUUCUGAAAAUACUUCAUUUUAUUACAAGGAAGGCUUUAGCCAGUCAUCUUUUCUUUACCUACGUCCAGUCUAAAUCAAUCUUGUCCAGUGUCCAUAAAUAAAUCAGCUUAGGAAAGUCAGUGGAAAGAUAACUCUGCCAGCAACCUUCGGCGGAUGCUGAUACUGUUGUUACUGCCAGCUCCGCUUGCGGGGGAAUUCUCCUGCAGCACACAACGACUUUAAAAAGCCUAAAUCUCACCGAGAUUUAGCUCAACAAAUGAAUUAUUUCUCAACUCUGAUUCACUGCCCAGAAAAUCACGGGAAGAGAAGGGACCUGGUAAAGAAGUGCCCAGGUGCAGCGCUGGGAAGUUGCAGAGCGGCGUCUGCGGAGGAGAGGACGGGCACCAUUUCACAGCGGGGUUCAUCUGCACAACUUCUGUGCACAAGAAAACCACGGCUGCAGGGACAGACAGCGAUGGCCAGGCAGCGGUUUGCUGGUGGGCUGGCUGGAACAACAAAACGCAGAUGUUUUUCUGCUUGACUAGACAAAAGCAGCGUCUGGGCUGCGAGCAAAUACGCAAUAUAAUUUUUGAUGCCGUGCAAGGAUCUUCCUCAUAUUCCUUUCCCCUCUGUGCCGUUCAGCUUUAACAGCGGCAUGGAAGGCAGCAGGAGGGGACUCUGACCCACUGCUGGGAGGAGGCGCAGCCUGUGCAGCUCUUCUGACUCCGAAAUCCACCAAAACACGGCGGCCCCGACCCCAGGGCAGCUGCAGAGGAUGCUCAGGCACAGCAUCUGCUCCCCACAGGCGAGCAGGGCAGAGCCAGCACCAGCACCCAUGGGUGCUGUUCUCCUUCUCCCAGCGCACCACUGACCUACCCGGCGGCCCUUCAGGGACCCAUGUGGCACGCCAACCUUCUCCAACCCCAGCCAGCAGGCUGCGAGUAUUCUGCUCAUUACCAUUUAAGCAAUAUAUAUCUUGGAAUUGCUCCUAGGGAAGCAAGGGACACCUGAGCGUAUGUUUUCUGGAUAUAAAAAGACAAAAAACGUUGCUUCUUCAUGUAACUUAAGCCAAGCUACUAAUGUUAAAGCAUCUGGAAUUAAUUAUCUCAGCCAGAUAACGUUUCCACUAUUAUUUCAGUAACGCAAACGGCUCCGCUUGUAUUUGUAUCAACCUACUAACGGGGACCAGAGACAGACUGCACCUGCCACGCUCUGAGCAGGGGCUGCGGGCACGAGUCGCAGCGGAUGGGGAAUUGGCCAAAUCCCCCCGACCCUGCUGCUAACGGAGCUGAGCAUCGGAAGGCUCCAAAUACAGACAGGGGCACAAAGAUGACUAUCCUGUGAUUAGCACAGUGCCAUCACACGGGUCUCCUUACACAAAACCAAGCCAACGAAAGCAAAGCUUUGAGGAAUUUGAAAAGGCAGCAUCCAGCCUUUUUUAAUGCGUUUUGGAUCACUGCACUAACGCUGAAACACAGGAGAACAGCGUUGACGCUGAGUCACUUGAAGCAGCGCACAGCCCAUCCCACAAAACCAGGAGGGAUCCGUCUGCCUCUUGCACCAGCCACGUACUGCUACGCAGCUACGCUUGUCUCGGUGCGUCUUCCAGGUCUUCUUCAAGUGCACUGAAGGAAAAAAAAAAACCAAACCAACCCACCUACCAGCUCUUCUCCACCUCACCAAGGUCCUGGGAAGAUGGUAACGCAAUGCAGGCUUCACCUCAGUUCAACAGGAUUAUCCACUCACAGCAGCACCAAAACCAAGCAGCUAUUCCCGCUGCCGGGCUGUCCUGGUCCUCCCAUCACUCUGAAGAGCACUUAAUAUGUUUCUUGUCUUGUUCAAUGGGGACACAAGGUGCACUAAAUCACCGAGAGGCGAUUUAAUUACUGCUGCGGUUGCAAGCAGCGGCAAUCAGAUCUGCUACGGUCUGCCCAGCUAUACACCAGAUUCAUGGCUCUGGACGGAGAGCGGAGGUGACGGAGCAAGAUGCGGAGGCUCCCGAGGCGGUACCAAACCGGAGUUUGCCCUGAGAGCCGUAAAACUCGUUACGGAGCAGUGGGAAUCAAGCCCGCUUAUUCUAUACAUUUACUGCUGAAAUACACUUGACUUUCUGUGUGCUUGAUCCAGUAUAAACCACAGGCAUCCACUGGGAGGAUUAGCAAACAUUUAAAAUAAAAGUCCAAGUGGCUCGGUACUAGGUAAGAACAGCCUGGAUUAACACGUUUCCGUAGCAAACUAAUAAAGGUGAGGACUUGCUGAAAGCCCACACGAGAACUUGUCAGGCAGACUGUAAACCAGAAAUGAUUACGAGUAACAGACAGAGUAAAUCAGGCUUAUUCCUUCGCGAAGCACUCACGGGGCACACACUAACAACCCUCUGCAGCACCAGUACCACCUUUUGCACUGCCCAGACCCUCGGAACCGCUGAGCCGCUGCGAUUCACCCCAUCCCAAAUCAGCUAUCUCAAGGCCCAGCAGAACAGACCCCCCUGCAAACAGCCCGUGUCCCCCCCCGCUGCUCGCAGGGACAGUGGCUGCCGGAGCAGAUCCGACUGGAGACCUGCCCUUCCCGCAGCGGGGCUGCACGGGGACCUCACUGAUGUUACAUCACUGGGGGUUUUUUUUUUUGCCACUGGCCAACCCGUCCUCGCCGCGGCCAGGCGUCACCCCAGGGGUCCCCGGGAGCGGGCAGGGCGUGCAGGCAGCAAGCUUUCCUCUCUCUGCGCUCCCAUGUCCCAGGGCUUGUGAUCUAAACAUUUAGGCCUAGGGCAGUUGGGAUUUUUCUCUCUUUUGAUCAGAGCAGAGUCUCAGAUCUUGAAAGGGAAGCGUACAUGUAUUUCUGAAGCGUACCAGAAUCCAGGCAUAUUUAAGGGCAGGCAGCCACAAAAUGGGGAUAACUGACCCAAGAAAUAGCCUUUUGUAAAAUUGCCAGCAUGCCAUCUGCAAGCCCCAAACUCACACGUUUUUCACGAUGAGCUGAAGAGAAAAAAGAAAAAAAAAGAAAAGAAAAAAAAUAAAAAAGAAGGAUCAUGUUAAAAAAAUAAGCUCUGCUCCAAAAGAUACACAAACUGCUGCAGAAUCCUGCCUGCCCCUUCUGCAGCAAAGCCCAAGGGAAGCUGCUGAUGAGUCAACAGCCAGCCUGCAUCGCCGACCGAGGAAAGGAAGUCCAAUCUCAACACUCGAGAACAAAGUGUGCUGGUUCAUACAGUACAUGCUGAGAACGAAGCCUCAGAAAGCCCUCCCCGGGCGGAGAGCCGUGCUGCUGCGAGGAUACAGCCUGGAUGCCAUCCAGGGCUCCCGCUGCACGCCGAGGAAGAGGGAGAGGUGAAGUCCAGGCAUUGCUGGGACGUCUGCAUCGUGCCGGGCCGGCCUGGCCGCAGCUCCUCGGCAUCACCGCGCUCCGCACCGCGGCGGAUUGCUCCUGGUGUUAUUUUCUCCCUUUGCUGGAACCGCUCCCUCCCUGUGCUGGGUGUUCUGGAUGCGGCAUCCAGCCCCUCCGGGAUGAGCCAAGGUGUCUGCUCACUGGGAGCAGAAGGAAAGAAGGGCAGGGAUGUGCUCCAGUCCUACACCCAUUGCUGGUGCACCAGUUAAUUCCUCUCCCCACUCCAGUACGGUCAUCUCCAACGCUGCUCCCCGCGAGCAGACCCGCUCUGCGUGCCUCCUCUUGCUCCUUUUGCAAUAAUGCAAAACCACAACGUGGACAUUCCUGCCAACAACUCUGCACCCUCUCCAAGAACUGCUGGACCUCCUGGAGAUGUUGGGGCAACUCCUUACGGGACUGGAGUUGACUAAAGAGCAAGACAGCUCGAAGGAGAUGAACACCGGGCAGCUCCACAUCGUGAUCCGAGCACAGCCAGGAGCUGCUUUACCUGCGUGUGUGGCUCUUGGAGGAGAGGGGGCCGGAGGGGACGCGAGGGAGGAGGACACACCAGUGACACAAACACCGCGCCGACGUGGCAGACGGCGUUUGCGCUGGUGCCGCAGCCAUCGCCGAGCUGGUACUCGCAGAGGUUGUGCCUUCCUGUUGCCACAGCACUUUCUGUUUUCUGUUAAAACAGGGCCACAGCAACGAUGCAAGUAUAGAUCUGCAACGCCAAGAAUAUCUGGGAAACCUGCCAGCAAGAAGCAGCCUUCCUGCUCGUCCUCCCGCUGUGUGCGAAUUCACAGGAAACAGAAUCCACAGCACAUACUAAUGUGGCUUUAAUGCGAGAUCCAAGAGGCACCUCUAGAUCCUGCCUGCAUCCCUGUCAGCCCGGGGAAGGAGCCGCGUGCCAAAAAUGUUAAAUCAUUAAAUAAAGGAGGAAUUAAAGCCUGUACAGGUGCAUAAAA